Molecule: long non-coding RNA, 231 nt
Filed under: Vicia faba (fava bean)
Lineage: Eukaryota; Viridiplantae; Streptophyta; Magnoliopsida; Fabales; Fabaceae
Source: RNAcentral
AUGUUGAUCUGCGGUUUUCACCGCUCUCCUUCAGAUAUGUUCUGUUUUUCUGAUAUUUUCAAUGCAAAUUCCACCGAUUUCACGUAUCAAUUGGAGGUGAAAAGUAGCAUCAUUCUCACCAGGCGAGUAUUCUGGAACAACAACAACAACAUAGAAAACAGAUUUCUCCAUGGAACUUCAGGAUUUCCUUAUUCAUGCUCGAGUCUUCAAGCUUUACAGACAAGCAACUAA